Lotus japonicus is the source of this 3730-nucleotide long non-coding RNA. RefSeq lists it as uncharacterized. The record is from RefSeq and is a predicted model, not a curated record. Lineage: Eukaryota; Viridiplantae; Streptophyta; Magnoliopsida; Fabales; Fabaceae. The transcript is spliced from 2 exons.
GGACAGAACGAUGUUGUUUUAGAUCCUUGUUUUGUUUAACAAAAGUAAAAAAAUAGAAAGGUUGAAAGAGGGGAACAACAACGUGAACACCACUAAAACCCUUGCCUUGAGCGCCGACCUCCACCCACCCUGCGACGGCGGUUUCCGGCGACCAUGGUGGCCUCUGCGGUGGCGUUUUCCAGCGAGAAGCAAGCACAACAAGCGGUUCAAACAGCAGAAGUGAAGAACAGAGGAUCUGCAACAGAUACCAUUACCUCGAGCGCCGGCUUCCACCCUCCUGCAACGGCGGUUUCCAGCGACCGUGGUGGCCUCUGCGGCGGCGUUUUCCAGCGAGCAGCAAGCACAAGCGAUUGGAACAGAAGAAGGGAAGAACAGAUCUGAGGAAGAUUUGAAGGAAAUCAAGAGAAGAUUAAGAUUUGGAGUGGCUGGAGAUUUUGGCAUCAAAACCGUGCAAAUUCAGCUUUGUUUCUCGUGCAAAUGCUUGAGCUUCAUGGUUGCUGGAAUUUUCUGCACGAAAACUCGUGCAAAUCCUUCCCUGUUUCGCGCAAUUUCCGUGCUUUUCCAAUUCUGCCCGAAUUUCCAUGCUAUUUUCAGUGUUUUAUGGCGCAAUUGCGCCAAGCUCGGCUGGAAGGUUAUAAAAACACGGUUUUAACCUAAUUUUGGGGAUUCUUGGACGUGCUACACACUUUUGAGACUCUUUGGAGGCAGAGCUUUGAAUUCUUUAAGUUCCUUUACAGGUUUCUACUGUAAUUUGGAUGUUUUGUCAUCUUCUUCUUGAUUUUUUCUUCAUGACUAUGAGGAACUAAUCCUCUUUUGCAUUAGGGAUAGACGAAGUUACAUCUUUGAUUAUGUUUGGAUUCGUUUCGGUUUUUAUAUGAAUGACUAUAUUUCGUUCUUGAGUUUCUCUCUUGCUUUGAUUGUUAUCUACUGCGCAUAGAUUGUUUUACUUGUUUCUAUAUAAUUGGGAAAUUGAUAGGAAUUAGGGAUCUAGAGAGAAAUUGGAUUUUGGUCUCUACGCCUCAGGUAUAAGGGUAGCAAUAAAUCUGUGAUUGUCUGAUAUUGAAUUGAAUCUCUAGUUAAUUAGGAUUAGGUACUAAGGGAUUAGCUAUCACUAAUUAACUAGAAUGGGAACUUGACUAAGGAAUUAGUAAGUAAUCACAUAGACAUAACGCCUUGAACGGGUUUAGUCGAAUUCAUAUGUAACUGGAGCGGAUACAGGCAUAACGAGGGUAACAGAUUCAAUUCCCUAGUGCAGCUUUUCUCCCUAAGUUUACAAAUCAACAACUGUUUCUUUGUUUUUCUUGAUUUCUUUUCGCAAUAAUCACAAUCAAUCAAUUCUCUAUUUUUAUCUUUGUUUUUUAGUCCUUACAACUAAAUUGGUAAAUUUAGAAGUAAACAAACACAAUCCUUGUGUUCGAUAAUUAAAACCCCGGACGAAACUGUACACUUGCAGUUUGGCACAUCAAGUUUUUGGCGCUGUUGCCGGGGAUUGUGCUUCCGCUUCUAUUAGUUAAGCUAGUCGGGUGUUGUUUAGAGCAUUAUUAUAGUAUGUAUUUUUUUGUUAUGCUUCUUAUAUGCCAAUUCAAUUGAUUUGUUCUUGUGCUAAAAUGUUUGUUGUGGCCUAAUCAACUAUAACAUGAUAUGAGGUUUGAAAUUCUGUGAACCUGACAUAGAAUGAAUCAGCUAGUGGAUUUAAUGAGAAUUAAGUUCAUUAGUCAUGAAUUCAUGAUUUGAUGCAUAGGAUUUUGAGUCAUAGUGUCUCAUUAAAUUAUUUGAGUUAUGUUGUGGUAUUUUAAUUUGUGUGCUCGUUUUUGCAAGGACUAAGUGAUUUCACAGAAAUUAAUUUGAGUUAGAGGGCCCAGCUGACCAUGUCCUGGUGCUUUCAAGUUUGCACCUAAUCUGAGUACAGGGAGUUUUACUGAACCACUCAUCUCUCAUUUAAUUUCAUCAUCAUGCAUUUAGCAUUUAGUUAUUUUGAUUGCACACACUAGUAUGCACAUGCCUUGAAUUCUUGGUAUUCACUCUUUUAUGCUUGAAUAAUGCUUGUUGUUUUUAAUAUAUGUUCUGGGUUUGAGGCUAGUAGUUAUAAUAAAAAGUGUUUGAUGCAUGAGUGUGAGUGAAACUUGUGGAACAUGUGGAGAGUGAGGUAAUAGAGACUUCAGUGAGUUUUUGGAAAGUGCGGUAAGGUUAUUAAGAUUGCAGGUUAAUGGGGAUAAUGCAUAAAAUAUGUAGUUUUCCUUUUAAUCUUUAUAUUGAGUCUACACUCUUUUUGGCUGUGAGGUUAAAAAUAGGGCACACAUGUGAAAGUAAAACUAAAGUGCUAAAAAUGAAAAAAUAGUGAAAGAAUGUGAGUAAGGGAAUGGGAAGUAUUUGCACCACUGAGCAUACCCCCAAUCAUAUUCUGACAUUGUUAAAUAAAAGAAAAUAAUUUCGCCUUGAGUUGGUAAUAACUGUGAAGGGUUGAGACAAAGCUAAGUUAAAAAGGAAAGAACAUGUGUGUGCUCAUAAUAAAAUAAGACUGUUGGUCAUCAUUAGUGGAUUCUCAAUAUGGGGUUGGGGAAUUAGGAAUAAAAUGUGAAACCCCACAUCUUGGUAUUUUUUAUAAUUCUUACUUGCCCUUACUAAUGGUUACUCAGUUUUUAAAGCUUGAUUCUCUGCAUGAACUAUUUUGAGGAACUCAUCUCAUGUAUCUUUUGUGAAAAUAUGUAUACUAGCAUCUUACUUUGAACUAUUUUCUUGAGUUUGAGGACAAGCAACCUUAAGUUUACUCUUGAGGACAAGCUGCUGUUGAGUAUAGGGGUAUGAUGACCCGGGAUUUAAGGCUAUUUUCCUAGUUUAUUUGCAUAUAUUUUAAUAUAUUUUUUAGGAUAUUUCAGCCAUUUUAGAACACUUUAGGAUUAUUUCAUGAUUUUAUUAUUUUUGUUUGGUUUUAGUAUUUUUCCACUUUUUAUAUUAUUUUCUAAUUAUUAUUAGGAUUUACUUACUUUAAUUUAGGAUUAGAUAAGUUAUUUUAAGGUGUUAUCUUAUUUUUAUAUCUUAUCUAUUUUUUAUAUGCUUUAUUUUAGGAGAAGAUAUGGAGAAAAAAGAAGAUAUAAUGGAAAAAACGGAAAUUUUAAAGAAUUUUGGACGCUGGAAUCCUGCGUAGCGCAGGUGCACGAACUUACCAUGCACCUGCGCUGAGAUCGCGACACGUGUCAGGGGCUGGAAGAAGCUUCACGAGAUCCAUGAAGCUCCACUAGGGUGUGUCUCGGUACACCGCUUAUCAUGCACAAGACACGCCAGAUUUGCCAUAUUCGCAUCCAACGUUCCAUGCUCGCGAGGGUGCACAGCUUUAGCAUGAACCUGACUGCACAGGAUCAUUUUCUGCGCCAGAAAAGACAAAAUAGGCCCAGAUUACGAAAAUCACAAUAAAAUCAGUUUUAAACCUAUUUUUUGGGAUCUUUUUUCAUCUUUUCUUUUCUCCUAAACCUAAUAAACACCUUUGGGAGACUUGGAGGCAAUUUCUUGGUGGAGAGGAAGGCUAGGCCCUUGAGGGCCGGUGUCAGGGUCAUGGAGGAGGUGACAGCUUCUCCGGACGUCCAUGAAUCCGUUCUAUUUUGGGUUUUGUUUUUCUCUUUACCUAUAUUUGUGUUGUCUCUCUUUUAGUAUUUGUGAUGACAUAAUUUGAUUUUUUCUCUUAUUCAAUAUACUAUUAUGCAAUUAUAAUUAUGUAUUUUCAUUAUUUGGUGUU